AAUGAUAAAAUAUUGAUACACAUGUUUUAAUUUUUCCAAAAAAUUAUUGGUUUUCUUACACACAUAUUUAUGAAAGAAAAAAAAUUUAUUUUAUUAAAAAAUUUUAUAAAUACUCUUAUAUAUUAAUAACAUUUAAAAAUAAUUUUUCACCUAAUUUUUUUAAAAAUAUUACUACUCUUAUUAUCUUAAGCUCUCAUCAUCGAAUAAAAAUUUUUUUUCAUCAUUUUUUAUUACUUUUAUUUGUUUUUUCACCCUAAAAAUUUUAGACUAAUACAAUUAUCUAUUAAUAAAUUUAUUUUCUAUACAUACAUAUUUGCAAGUAUUAAAAUAAAUAAAUAUAAAGCAUAACUAAAUAAAAAAAAAAACCAAUAAAGACAUAAGCUUUAGACUCAAAUUAGUUGAACUUGCUCUACCGAAUUGUCUAGACCUAAAUUAGAUGAACUUCACCUGGUACAACUCCAAGCUUGAAAUAAACAACUAAAUGCAAUCCAUGUGAUUUUCUUUCACUUGUCUUUUCCACUCAUUAAUUCAACUUUCAUUUUUGACUUUUCAAACUUUCUUCUUUCUCUUUUUUUUUUUUUUCUUAACCUAAACUAUACCACCUGUAACUCCCCUCCAAACUUCCCUUCUCUUUUUAUGACGGGUUCUCUUGUCUUCUUCUUUUUUUUCUCCUCCUCUUGUUUUUUCUUUCCUCUUCCCCUUCUUUUCCACACUCUCUUCUUUUCCACGCCGAAAGGAUUUUUUUUCUUCAAUCGUUCACCCCCUACACGGUUCACCAAAAUUUUUUGAUUGAUUUUUUUGUUGCUUCUGCAGGGUUUCACACCAGUCAAUGAGGACUAUGUUUUUUUUUUUGUUGAUUUUUGGAAAACAAUAAGGGAGUUUUUGGCUUGGGGUUGUUUGAGAAAUUGUUGAUUUUUUUAGAUUUGGCAAUAGUGGUUGACGGUGGAAGCUAUGUGGUAAUGGGAGAUGGGCUUCAGUGGUAGGGGAUUAGCAUUGGCUGUGGGUUUUUUUUUUUUUUUUUGUUUCACAAAGGGGUUAGGUUGGCAGUCAAUGAGUGGGAUCUCAACUGGGGUUCUUUUGGUGGUGAGCUAUCUGUAAUGGAGAUGUGGAGGAUGGUUUUCUCAAGCUCUUGGCAGUGGUUAGGACUGGUGAUGGGGUUCGAUUAUAGAAGUCGAAUGGGAUGGUUGCUUUGGUUUUUCUUGUAUGUUGUUAUCUGUUGGUAGUCUGAAAGUGACCCCCCUUAGCUAAUUUCAACUGGGUUUUAUAACCUUUUCAGCUUUUAGAUUCAGACAGAUAUCUGGUGGAUAAGAUGGAAGAUUGUGGGUAAGGUGGAGUGCUAAUGGUAACUAAAUUUUAGCUACAGAUGGUGGCGAUAAGGUGGCUUGCAGGGUAGGGUGGCCUAGCAAAGCUAAGGGGCUAGGCAAUGCCGUGCACGACACUUGCCCCAUUCUAUCUGUUUCUUUUAUUUUUUAUUUAAUUUAAUUAUUUUUUAAAUUAAUCAAUAUUAAAUUGACCUGAUAAAAAUUUAAGAAUAAACCUCAAAGCCGAAUUAAUUUCAAAUAUGAAAUUAUUAAGGUAGGGUGGCCUAGCAAAGCUAAGGGGCUAGGCAAUGCCGUGCACGACACUUGCCCCAUUUCUAUCUGUUUCUUUUAUUUUUUAUUUAAUUUAAUUAUUUUUUAAAUUAAUCAAUAUUAAAUUGACCUGAUAAAAAUUUAAGAAUAAACCUCAAAGCCGAAUUAAUUUUAAAUAUGAAAUUAUUAAUUCAAAUAAAAAUUAGUGUCUACAUCAAUCAUAUUAUAAAAUUUUUUGAAAACAUGUUUAGCAUUUAAUU
Molecule: long non-coding RNA, 1831 nt
Filed under: Durio zibethinus
Lineage: Eukaryota; Viridiplantae; Streptophyta; Magnoliopsida; Malvales; Malvaceae
Description: long non-coding RNA (DZIB_LNC002453)
Source: RNAcentral